This 502-nucleotide ribosomal RNA is filed under the name uncultured soil bacterium. RNAcentral's name for it is "bacterial SSU rRNA". It matches the Rfam family "Bacterial small subunit ribosomal RNA", at positions 26 to 525 of the family's 1533-position model. The record is from RNAcentral.
AGAAUGAACGCUGGCGGCGCGCCUAAUACAUGCAAGUCGAGCGAGAAGACGUAGCAAUACGUUUGUAAAGCGGCGAACGGGUGAGGAAUACAUGGGUAACCUACCCUUGAGUGGGGAAUAACUAGCCGAAAGGUUAGCUAAUACCGCGUACGCUCCUUGGACUUCGGUUCAGGGAGGAAAGCGCUACCGUGGGUAGCGCGCUCUUGGAUGGGCUCAUGUCCUAUCAGCUUGUUGGUGAGGUAACGGCUCACCAAGGCUUCGACGGGUAGCUGGUCUGAGAGGACGAUCAGCCACACUGGCACUGCGACACGGGCCAGACUCCUACGGGAGGCAGCAGUAAGAUAUUGCGCAAUGGGCGAAAGCCUGACGCAGCGACGCCGCGGUGGGGGAGUGAAGGUCUUCGGAUUGUAAACCCCUUUCGGGAGGAAGAUGGAAUGGGUAACCAUCCGGACGUACCGUCCAGAAGCAGCCACGGCUAACUCGCGCCAGCAGCCGCGUAAUC